AUUGAACGCUGGCGGCAUGCCUUACACAUGCAAAUCGAACGGCAGCACGGGUGCUUGCACCUGGUGGCGAGUGGCGAACGGGUGAGUAAUACAUCGGAACGUACCUUAUCGUGGGGGAUAACAAAUUGAAUAAUUUGCUAAUACCGCAUAAUACUCUGAGGAGGAAAGCGGGGGAUUCGUAAGAACCUCGCGCGAUUAGAGCGGCCGGUGGCUGAUUAGCUAGUUGGUGGGGUAAAGGCCCAACAAGGCAACGUUAAGUAGCAGGUCUGGGAGGAUGAUCUGCCCAACUGGAACUGAGAAACGGUCCAGACUCCUACGGGAGGCAGCAGUGGGGAAUUUUGGACAAUGGGGGCAACCCUGAUCCAGCAAUGCCGCGUGAGUGAAGAAGGCCUUCGGGUUGUAAAGCUCUUUUGUCAGUGAAGAAAACUUUAAUAAUAACACUAUUAAAGCAUGACGGUAACUGAAGAAUAAGGACCGGCUAACUACGUGCCAGCCGCCGCAGUAA
Molecule: ribosomal RNA, 505 nt
Filed under: uncultured bacterium
Lineage: Bacteria
Description: partial 16S ribosomal RNA
Rfam family: Bacterial small subunit ribosomal RNA
Source: RNAcentral